This 13940-nucleotide long non-coding RNA is filed under the name Sorghum bicolor (sorghum). Its description in RNAcentral is "long non-coding RNA (SBIC_LNC003991)". The record is from RNAcentral. Lineage: Eukaryota; Viridiplantae; Streptophyta; Magnoliopsida; Poales; Poaceae.
UAAUAUUCCUGAAACUCAAGUCAAAGGCUAGUUUGGAGCACUUCCUGAAAAACAGAACCAUGUAAUCAGCAACUAUAGACCUCAUUUGGUGCGACAAAUGUCUGUAACAUUCAGUGAAACGCAGUUUCGUGUACUUCUUGCAAUUAGGAAAUAAUUCUUGACUAUUGGCUUCUACCAGCUUCUGGAGGUCAACUAGUUCUUUAGGAAGCUCAACAGAACUAUCAUCUUCGAAAUCCCCUCUAUCAUCUAAAGCACAAGCUAGGUCUCUAAGCAAUUCAGAUAUGUCAUCCUCUUCACUAGACUCUUCCACAGGACCAGGACCAGCACCAUCAACAUUAUCGGUAUUCACAUAAGAGGAACUAGCUUCCCCAUGCAAGUUCCAAGUUGUGUACCCCUUUAGAAACCCAUCACAUAUCAAGUGCUCUCGUAUAUCACUCGAGUCUCUCCAAAAUGAAUUAACACACUUUCUGCAAGGGCAUAGUAUCUUGUCCCCUACCGCUGAAUUUCUAAAUGCAAAAGCUAGGAAACUGUUGAUCCCUUGCAAAUAUGCCUUUGUGUGCCUAGCAUCACUAUUGAUCCAUAUUUUAUCCAUAAGUAUUUGUGGGGACUGAGCAUGUACCUGCAGUACUUCGAUCUGUUGACUGCAAGCAAUGAGAAGAGAAUGACGUCGAUGUAGCAGAUCUACAACUCACUGGGGUUAGUGGGCCAGCUCCACAAUACUUUCACCUAGGGGGCUGAAAUGAAUGAGAAAGAACAAAUCAAUUAUGCCAGCUUCUGCAUGAUCUCUUGAAGUUAGACAUGCUGGAUGAUCUCAAAUAUAAGUGACACAAACAGAUUCAGAAAACAAGAAAAAUAAUUUAUUUCGUAGCUAGCAUCUGUGAUGGAAAAUAAGUGAAACAGAGAAUAAUCAGAAAGCAUGUGUGAUGCAGCCUCACAAUUGGUACCAUCACUAAUAAAUAGCUAGGAACAUAACCACUGCACAGAAUCACCAAUCGCCACCAUAAGAAAAUAAAGAAGCUUAUUUUUAGCUUUCAACACUUGCCAACUUAUGUACAGAUCAGCUCAGCAUCCUCUAAUAUAUCUCCCAACUUAUGUACAGAUAAUUAAGUUGUUUCAAAUUAUUGUUUCAGGCUAUGCAAAUAAAUUCAUGGCUAGUAAAAUUUAAAGCAGCUUUCCUUAAAAAGCAGAAGAUGGCUGUACCUAUCCUGCAAGUUAUAUGCCCAUUGCUUACAAAAAUAACUAAUGAAGAUGAUGUUUUCUAUUCUAUAUAAAUGGGCAGCAAGCAAUCAACCUUUUCCAUAAUUGUUUAGGUUGGAAGGUAAAUUUGGCAAGACAAUAAAUUAAUUCAUUGGUUCUUGCAGGAGAAGUCAUAUGACGCUCUUGCAGCAUUCUGCGAGGACAUGGGUGCAGAUAUCCUACCAUAUCUAGAGCCCCUGCAGAUUGGUUGCCUUUGUAGAGUAGUACUCGGAACUUGCAAGAGACGUGUGGCAUGUAUGUAGUAAUUCUGCAUAGCAUACUACUUGGCUUCUAACAGAAUUAAUCUGUACAGAAUCUGCUAUUAUGUUUUUCCCCUACAAUAAAGCAAGUUCCGAAACCCACAAAUCCAAGUCUUAAAAUAAAGAAAUUUCUUUAACCUAUCAAUUGUGCUACUCAAGAAAUUUUUACCUACAAUCUGAGCUCCAAACACAAUUAGGGUAGAUGGAUCAUUUUACAAAUUCCCAAAUACCAGAACAUUGAGUUGAGAUAAAUAAAAAGAAAAUGGCAUUGCAAUCUGAAGGCUUCAAGCUCGGCACCAAAAUAAGUUCCCUUUCUAUCAACUACCUCACUAGUCGAAACAAGCCGAAAUCCAGGCAAUUCAAACUCUAAGUUAAACAUGUUACCCAAUCUCACCAUUUCAGACGUCUAUACAAGUUUAUGGUUGUGACUUGAAUAAGAUAACAAAAAAAUGGAGUCUAUCAAAAUACCAGAACAUGUAGAGUUUUUUUUAGAGCAGAACAUGUAGAAUUGAGAUAUCACUCAGCAUUACACGAGUGACCAUAUGAUUAUCUUGACUCAUCAGAAAAAAGAAACGAAAGCCUAAAUUCUCAGAUAGCAAAUGGCUGUCAAUCCAAUUUACGCACAAGCCUCAAAUAAAGCAAAUCCAUUAACAUGACUCCUCUGCUAUUCAGGAAUUUUUCACCUACAAUCUGAGCUCCAACGCAUCUACGGGAAGGGAGCAACCCAAAAGAAAAGAUGCAGGGAAGGGAGGCACCUACCAAUGGAUCUGCAGCAGAAACUCAAAUCGAAGUCACUGAGAUGCCACACUGCGUGCUCCACCUUGGCUUGCUCCACGGGUGGUGGUUAGCAGCUGGAGGCACCGGGCCCUAGCUUCCUGGUGGACCAGCAGCCAGGUUCUACGGUGGCAGAUGGGCUGGUGGCUGCCUGCGCCGGUAGAGGGCGGGGCUGUGGCAGACCGGAGCAGUCCCCGAUGGCUGGAGCAGGAGGAGAUUUGGGGCACUGAAGCAGGAGGAGAUUUGGAGCACUGGAGAGCAGUGUUGUGUGUUUUGGGGCGGCUGAGCGGGCGAGGCGAGAGUUAGGGGCAGGGCGGGCUAGUUUUCAGGGGAGCUAGAGGGCGGCGGCGGGCAGGACGAAUUUUGGGUGGGUCGGCAGCGCGAUUUGGGAGAAGGGAGAGGCGCGCGGCGGCCGCUAGCGGUCAGGUUCGGCGCCGCGCUUUUUUGGAUUGGGAUUUGGGGGAAGGAGGGUCUAGGGUUUCUGUAGUCGUGGGCAGAGACCAAAGUUACCUGGGAGGGAAUUUGUGACCUGGAAGCGGGCGUGGGGUCCAUUUAUUUUUGCCGACAGAUGGAUUGACUAUAUAACUUGUUUUAGCGUCAGACAAUGUGAUUUUAAAUAUAAAUACCUAUAGGGACAGACAAUGAAUCGCUAAAUAACAAUUUAGCGUCAGAUAGUCUCUGCAUUAUUUUUAGGGACAGAUCCUCCAUCGGCAAAGAUAAUUUUUACCGUCAGAUGUCUGACGGUGAUUUAGUGUUGUGGUGUAGUGGACAGAUACGAUAGAUGCUCAAGGGAAUGGGGGCGAAAAGUAACCAGCAUAAUAUAGUUUCUUUUUCCUUUUUUGAUAAAAUGUGACCAGCUCGAUUGGGAGGUAGGAGUAGUAGUAGUAGUAAAAAGGAAAGAUCGAUCGGUGUGUGUGAAAACUGUGAAUGACAUGAAUAACCGGAAAUUGGUUGUGCCUGCGGUGGUGCUAUUCGCGCAUGUGCGUUGGGCAGUUCUCGUUUUCAGGCAGGCCACUGAUAGCUAGCUGCUGGCAUACGGACUGCAAGUAGGACAGGACUGUCGUGCUGGCCGAUCUACUAGACAGGCCCAGCGCCCUGACCAGAUCGAUCUCGCGCGACUACUCGCAGUAUAAUCACGUCUCGCAGUCUCGCACAGGUCCAUGACAACACAUGAGCGAACGAACCGAACCCGUCCGUCCGUCCAUCGCAUCACAAUAGACACUCCUCGGCGAUCCCGGCCGGCGUUGCUGGCCGGUCGGAGGGUGCGCGACCGGCCGGUCGGUCGUGGCCGCCGCAUGCAUGCGAUGCAUUGAUGCGCGCCCGCACGGCAGCAAUCAGCAUCGUCGUCUAUAUACAGGUCUCCAUCGAACCAACCAACGACGGACGGACGACGAGAGGAGGCCACCAGCAGCGCGCGGCGACCCACGUACUGUACCCACUUGCAUUGCCCUGGCCACGUACGGCGCCAUGGCAUCUCCAUUUAUCGCCGGCCAGCGCGGCGUCGUACUACGGCAGGGACGCUGGACGGGAUGGGGCCACGGCAGAUGGAGGCCGGGGCAACGCCGUACGCGGCCGCAUUUACGGCCGCUCAUGGGCUUCUCAUGUUCCGUUCUGCGGGCGCGGGCCAGCCGAUCCGGCGGAUGGGAUCAGUGGAUCACAUCAAUCAAAUCGCCCGCCCGCCCGCCUGACGCAUGGGAACGUGCGUGGCCUGGAGCCUGGAGCCUGAGCCUGACCCGCGCCCGCCUCUCCUCCCGUGUGCAGCUGCAUGCAUCGCAGGGCCGGCCGUACGUACCCAGGCCUGUCUGCCGGUGCCGGCCAUCAUUGUGUCGGAGUUGCCGUGAUACACCGGCAGCUGCAAACACCACUAGCGCCAUGGCCAAUUUGGCCAUGCAUGCAUGUGCAUCGCGCUGUCCUGUACGUCCACUCCACGGGUCGUAUUAUUCCCGCCGGUCGCCCCGCCCAGGGUCCGUCCGUCCGCCCGCCCGCCCCCGCUCCGUCGUCGUCGUCGUCGCCUGCUGUUCACCGCGAGCGAUGCAUGUCAUGUGGAGCUUCACGCGAAUCUGACGACCUGUUCGUUUCCGGCUACAGUCGUACGUGUCGUCUCACGUACACCGGCCGGACCCCGGGCUGGGGACUACCGUCCCCGGUCACAGCGUCAGGUUUGUUUUGGUAGCAUGCGAUGCGAGCGCAUGGCCGCCGCCGUGCAAACGCAUGUGAUCCGUUUACAUGGCAGUUUCCCCAUCUCCUGAAUGCAUGCGGUGGUGGGUGCCGGAUGAUAUGCUACAGCUAGCUAAUACACCACAGUCCAGUCCACAGGACACGAUCCACGUACACCAUCACAUGUAGUACCUAUGUAGUACAGUAGCUUUCUUUAGCUUGCCUCAAAACCCUUCUUUUUUCCUCAAGAAAGCGCGAAGAGAGGAUCUGGUUCUUCACAACCUAACAAGCUAGCUAGGUGUUGCAUAUGUCGUCUCAAAAGAAAAUAUGUGCUUUUUUUGUUUGAUUGCGUCGCAUUUGUAGAGUAUAAAUAGCUUCACCUUUGUAUAGUAGUGCUUCAUUUUAAAUAUGACACUUGAUAAUCUUGAUAUAUCGUUUUGAGUAGGAGCUAGGUUAGAGCAUCUUCACUACUUAUAUUUGGACCCAUAUCUAUUUCUCCAAACACAUGGGGCCUCAACUAGUUCUAUUUUAUAUAGUACCAAAUACUACAAAAUGCCACUUUUUUAUACACGACAUAGAAGCACAUGUAAACCAAGGUUGACGAUCGAGUGUUGAGUGCGUGAAUAAAGACAUACAUAGUGCGUGUGUUUUCAUCAUGUCGAAUGAAUUAAAUUUUGUUGCUUGUAUCCUUUAUAUAUCGUCCAUAUGUUACUAACAUGCUAGAGUGAGAGUUUGACCUUAUUUUUUUUGUUCUCUAGCUGAACAACUUCUAUCAUUACAAACUAGUAAUGAGUCUAGCUAUAUCACUUAUCUCAACGGUAAUGAAAUUGUAGUACCUAUGUAUAGUAGCUUUCUUUGGCUUGCCUCAAACCUUCUUUUUCCUCAAGAAAGCGCGAGGGGAGGAUCUGGUUCUUCACAACCUAACAAGCUAGGUGUUGCAUGCAUAUAUCCUCCCAAAAGAAAACAUGUGCAUUUUGUUUGAUUGCGUCGUGUUUGUAAAGUAUAAAUAGCUUCCCUUUGUAUAGUAACGCUUCAUUUUAAAUAUGACACUUGAUGAUCUUGAUAUAUCGUUUCAACUAGGAGUUAGAGCAUCUUGACUACUUAUAUUUGAACCCAUAUGUAUUUCUCCAAACACAUGGGGUCCUCUCAACUAGUUCUAUUUUAUAUACUACCAAAUACUACAAAAUGCCACUUUUUUAUACACAACAUAGAAGCACAUGUAAACCAAGGUUGAUGAUCGAGUGUUGAGUGCGUGAAUAAAGAGUGCAUACAUAGUGCGCGUAUUUUCUUCCAAGCACCCAUCAUGUCGAGUUUGGCCUUAUUUUUUUGUAAGAACGAAACAUGGUUGGCUAGCUGAACAAUUUCUAUCAUUACAAACUAGUAAUGGGUGAUAUCACUUAUCUCAACGGUAAUGAAAUUGUAACAUGUCGCUAUUAUGGACUGUUGAUCUUUAGAAAUCAAAAUCAUUACAUAACACUUAUAGAUCAAGAAGCCACAAAGUUACAAAUUCAUAUGUGUAGAAAUCCAUAUAAUAUGAUGGAUAUCGCAAUUAAUAACAUAUAUGUGGAUCAUUCGGCAAGCAAAUUAAUACAACAUAGGAAGGAAAACAAAAAAAAUUAUGCAUAAAAAAUUAGAUAAAACAGAACUAUGCUCUUUGCGAGACAGAGCAUUUUAUAGUAGUGUGCUAAGGUUGAUGGAUGAGGGAGACUAGUUGUGUAGAGAAUGAUUAUUAUUUUGGUCGUCAAUUCCAUGGACAAAGGAUCAAGCGAUGCGAAGCAUUCACCAAUUUCAAAUUUUGAAAAAAACUUAUCAUUUCAAGUAGCGAAUAUUCUAAAUAGAAAUGGAAUACGAACGCGUACACUUAUGAUCACCAUUUUCACAACCUAGAUAGGUAAAUUUUGUACCUAUUUUUUUCUUCAAGUUGUGAAUACGAUCUUAUCUCGUUUACCUGAAUCAUAACACUUUGGUUUUAGUAGCAAGUUGAGAAGGGGAAAGAGGUUUCAUAUAAUAUAAAGGGAAGUCAAAUCCUAGUUGUCCUCACAUCACUAGCAACUUUUUUCUACCAAUCAUAUCAAAAUUGGGGCAAAGGAAUGAAAAAAACAAUAACAACACGAAGGACUCAUGUUACCCAAAGUGGAAAUGGUACUCGCAUAUAUACGUUCAACUAGCAAAUCAAGCAAAACUACAAGAUAGCAAGGGGAAAAAGAAACUCGUGUGUUUAGAAAAUGGGUUGGGGUACUCACAUAGAUAAGGAUCGCUGGUUGACAAUAAAAGCAGUAGUAGAUAGUGAGUAGAACAAAAAAAUUGGUGCAUUUAUAAAUCUAGUUGGGAUAAUCACAUAUUUUGGAAGAAACACAUUGAGACAUAUUUGAUUGAUCCACACAAUAAUACAAGAUCUUAUUAUUAACCUGUAGUAUGGCAUAGCACUAUAUAUAAGUAAAAAAUGAGUCUUUAUAAAUAGAUCUACGUAUUCUCUAUAGUGGAGCAAAAUAUCUACACAAACUCACAUUGUAGCUGUCGGGCCAGGCUAAAGCCUGUAAAGUACAGUAUGUUCUUUGCGAUAACCACUUGCGCACUCAUCAAUGUUGUGAAUAGCAUGGCGUGUAUAAAGUGUUUGUUGCUCAUUCCAUGCCGCAAGCAUGCAAGCAAAGCCCCUCAUCCAUGGCGGCCGACUGGCGACUCCUAGUAGAGGAGAUGAAUAAAGGGCCCGGCCCCGGGCUCCUCCAUGAACUAGAUGACGUACCUCUCAUCAUCAACCAUCAUCCGCAGAGCAAAACUACAUGACUAGCGCCCCAGUAAAAGUUAUAACAGCGACAGCUAGGGCAGGACAGACAAAGGGAGUACUCCAUGUGGAAGCCGAUAAGAGAGAGAGAGAGAGAGAGAGAGAGGAGGUGAUGGCCAUGGCUGGCGGGUUGCCGCCGGGAUGUCCCCCACACACUGGCCACUGCAUCUCGACUCCUCCUCUUGGCAUCUGCCACAAAGAGUUAGCGCUACAUCAGCCAGCCAGACAGGCACUGUCCGUUGCAGGCAGGCAGGCAGGCUACGGCCUGAGGUAAAAUGGUUAAAAAGCUGGGGGUAAUGUACUAUGCCGCCGGUGGCCACAUGUGUACUGCGCUAAUGACACGCAGCAGGAGUCGCCAGAUCCUGUACUAAUGACACACAAAGAGACACAAAACCUUUUCUUUGUGUCAUUCUUGUCAUGCCCAGUGAUACUGUGAUAGAUGGAUUGGAUGGAGUAGAUCAUGGACAAUCUUUUAAGCCUAGUUAGUCUAUGAUUAGACAAUUUUUAUCAAAUACAAACGAAAUUGAUCUAGUAUCAUUUUUUUUAAAAAAAUGGAACUAAACAAGGCCGGCUAGCAAUGCAAAGACCACUACUCGUCAGCCCUGGCAAAUCAGCUAGCUAAGUUCUUGGGCCGAUUGACAAAAGCGACGUGGCAAUUAACUUGGCUACCUCUUUGCAUUGGCUCAAGAAUAAAAUUCGAUUUCUAUACUGACAAAACAUAACGUAGUGGCUUAUUUGGGUAAUAUUCUGCUAUAACCCUUUUCAUCUUUUUUUUUCUCAUGCAUGGCCUUUGUUGACAAAGAAAAAAAAGGAAACGCUACAUGUUAGGGUGCUAGAAAAAAUUGCCACGUUAUCAAAGACCCCAUAAUUGAAGCUUUCAAUGACAGAUGGAGUAAAUUGAUUUUUGGUCUUCGUCCAAAGUUGGUUCACACGCCUAGCAAAGGGUUGUGCGCAGUGACCAAGGAGACAUUAAUUUGGCCAGUGAAAGGAGUUGUAUGCAGAUGGUUGGAUUAAUUAGACCAGUGGGAGGAGCCGCAUAUGCUUGAAAAAAAAGGUAAAAAUAGUGGUCCCUAGUUUAGAUGACUUUAAUUUUUAAGAAUUUUUUUUAAGAUGACUCCGAUAAAUAAAUCGAGAGAUUACAUUGUAUUCUGCUGCCUCUUGCUGUAUGUGAAAGGGUUCACUUGCUUUGAGAGAAAAUUUUAGAAUCCUAAAUGUGUGCGGAGGGAGUAUUAUAUUAUUUAAAAGUCACAACAUCUAAGAGAUUACCAUAACUGAAGAGUGUCCUCUAGCAAUAAUAACAUUGAGUAGUGCAAUACCCCAUUAACAAGCACCUACAUUGCAUGAAUGAUGUAUUGUAGCAAAUUUACCCUUGCUGAAAUCCAGCCAUCCAGGGCUAGCUCCCGCACUCGGGCGAGAAUGGUUCUUUAUCGUCCUUGGAAUGUGGAUCUGAAAUUCUUGGGGGUUUGUUGCCACAUUCCUGAAAGAGAGAACUCGUUGUCUUUGGCUGGCGAGAUCGAUCGGCGAACGAAGCUACCUACACGACUAUGAUUGAUAGUACUAUCCUGCUGCUCUCUUGCUUUCGGCCUUCCGAUCCGCAGUUGGAUUUGAGCUAGUAGCUCUCUUGCUUCGGCCUGGCAACUACGGUAUGUUCACAACCAGAUUUUUCAAUUUCUCCUAGUAACGUGGGAUUCUCCUAGUGUUUUAGCAUUUAAAAUUUAGUAUAAACUUUUUCUAGUAAAUGCCUCCUAGUGAGGAUUUCCUAGUGUUUGACUAACUAAAAACACUAGAAAAAUUCCACCAAUUUUGGUAGUGGUUGGUCCAUGAUUGAUGACCGAGCGAUGAUCCAACAUAGCAGCAUCGAUCGGCAUGCAUACCGCAGCUAGGCGCAGGAUACUGCAUGCAUGCAGGCAUGCUGCGCCAACGAAAGCCGAGCCGAAUCAUGUCGCAUGGCGCUCGUCACGAGCUACAGAGCUAGGGUACUUUUUUUUUAAUAUUCGAUAAGAUGAGGUGAUUUAUUUGUUUUUUUUAAGAAACUAAAAGACCUUAGUCCAAGGUAGUACUAGGGUCUGUUUAGUUCGUAUCUUGAAAAGUUGAGGAAUUUUAUAGUGCUUGGAAAUAAUGAGAACCAUCCAUUUAGUUAAAUCAGAUGGUUAAGAAAUAGAAAGAACCUACUCAGAGGAACUUAAGCUGUGGGCCGGAACUAAAAUCUAGUUGGCUCGGAACUGACUUUAGAUAAAUUGUGGAGGUUAGAAUGGUACUUUUGCGUGGAUCUACUGGCCAUGGAUCGAAAAAGCUGUCUUCCUUAAGGCAAAUGCCGGCCAUGUCGGACUGCACUGACUCGCCACCUACAAGCUUACGCGCGGACGCAAGCACUGGCUGUUGACCGCUACCUCCGUCGGUUUAGCCAUAGGCGGGCCAGAGCUUAGUAAGAGAGGCAUGGUGGCACCAUUGGGUCUCGACAUGGCCGUGGCUACGGUGGCAGUGGUGAUGGGACGCGGCCAUGUGCGAGGAAGGCGCAACACGCCGGCUCAGACGAGCACGAGACGGACAUAGGUAACACAACUGCUUUCUAGGUUACACAAGGAGUACAAAGUUCAAAAAAAAAUUGAUCUGUUCAUUCGUUGAUUUAUUACACUUGGCCGCAGAUGUUUGAAUCGUGGAGGUCAAAUAAGGCCUUGUUUAGUUCCCAAAAAAUUUUGCAAAAUUUUUCAGAUUCUUCGUCACAUCAAAUCUUUAGACGCAUGCAUGGAGUAUUAAAUAUAAACGAAAAUAGAAACUAAUUGCAUAGUUUGGUCGGAAUUGAUGAGAUGAAUCUUUUGAGCCUAGUUAGUCCAUUAUUGGACAAUAUUUAUCACAAACAAACAAAAAUGCUGCAGUACCUGUUUUGCAAAAUUUUUUGGAACUAAACAAGGCCUAAGUGCAGGCCGGUGACAGAUGGGAAGCAACAGCUAGCAGAUCGGUGAUGGGAGGAGGAAGGAAGGCUACCGAGCCCCACCCAACAGGCGGAUGACCUGGAGACUACCAAGCCCAAGCAGAUGGUUGGUGCAGAGCUCGUGAAGGUGGCCGACGGUGAUCCCAUAUGGUGGCCCAUACAAACGGUCGGUGGUGAGCUCCUCCAAAUUGCCGGUGGUGAUCCCCCAACAGUCAGGCGCUGGCACCGAUGAGCCUUUGAGGCGGCAGCGAGCCCUUCUCCAUAUCGAUGCGGCUUUCAAUUCAUCCCAGAGAGAGAGAAAGAAGACGUGGGGGCAACUUAGAAUACACUAGAAUGAUCCAAUUACCCCUAAUUACUUUUAACUAACGAAAAAACUCCACACGAGGAACCACAGGUUCUUCCCAAGCACCGUAACAAACCUCUGAAAAGUUUUGUAUACUCCCUCUAUACCCGAAUUAGUUGACGUUUAGGAUAAGAUUGUGGUAACCAAGGAGUAAUUAACUAAGGGUUAGUUUUCCUACUUUGCCCUUAUUAAAUAGCACUGCGGGUGUUUACUUUACAACAAUUUAGCGUAGCACAGUUGGUGAGUCCUUCGCAGCCUGAGGCUAGUGGCCGCGGUUCGACUCCCCAGUGCGCAAUUUUUUUUGCUGGAGCGCAGCCUGAUAGGCCCGUGCGUGAGGCUGCCACUCAUCCACGCGCAUGAAGGAAGCAAAGGCGUGCGGGCCAAGGAGGCAUUCAAUGCCAAUGCUCAGUUUUGUCAGGGACAUUCACGUCAAGUUUUCUCUUCUACAGUGCAGAACACGUCAGCUUUUGAGAAAAUGGUAAAGUCGUCCAAAACGUCAACUAUUUGAGGUAUGGAGGGAGUACUAUAGUAUAUAAUUAAUUCGUUUGAUUGAUAGUCAGGGCACUUAUAAUGUAAACUUUAUUAUAUAGUCUAAAGUUAUUUAUUACUUCGAACAAUGUGGACUUAGAGUCUAAAUAAAACUUGAAGUCUUAUUUUUUCUACAUUUUUCUUCAAUAAAUAUGUUGGCACAUCAGUAAAAUACCAUAAAUAUAUAUAAUUAAUUGUCUUAUACUCUGUGAUAGAGUUUUACAUUGUGAAUGUCGUCGUGGCAGAGAACUAGUAGUGUAGUGUGGGUCGACCAGGCGCUCGCGUCGUUCGAUGGAUCUCCCUCCAUUUGUGUUCGACGGCGCCACCGUCCGUCCGCGGUCCGUCUCAUGCGCAGGCGGCAGGCCUAGGGCAUGUGUAGCGUGGUAGCGAAGCGGGUGUCACUGCACUCACCCGCCGCUGCGCGCGCCCUUUUCUUUGACGCGCAUGCAUGAAGGCAGAAGCAGCAAGCGCACACGCAUCUCCAGAUGUUUUAUCAAAGUUUCAUGAAUAUUAAAUUUGAUAAUAUGUAUAUUAAUGAUAAUAAAAUGAUAAGAAUUUUAUUGAAUAAACAGAGUUUUAUAAAGAUAAAAACUUUUUUAUAUUAUUUUCAAAAUAUAGAUACUUUAAAAAUUGAGUUAUGAAAUCUCCACUAAAUAUGAUCUUAGUACCCUGACUAGAUAAGCAGCCGGCUAGCUAAACGCCAAUGAUCAGCUAGCGUUCAAAGCGCGCGCCAUGGCCGGCGGCCCACACAGAUGAUACACCACCAGGCCGGCCGGGCCCCGGGCAUACACGGGUGACGCCGUGACGGUGGCAUGCAUGCAUGCGCGUUACAGGUCCGUGUUGCAUGCAUUGCAAGAGCAACCACAAUGUAUAUCGACCAAGUAGUCCAUAUACAUAGGACCCACAUAACUAGUCCAUAGCUAUUGUUUUCUUCUCACAAUGUAUAUGGACUAAGUAGUCUAUAAGAUGGGACCCAAAGAGAAUAAAAAAUUAUUUAUCUUCAUUCCACCAGCCACUACAAGGAGAGAGAGAUGGAAAGAAGUAAGUAAAUAAAAUUUUUUAUUCUCUAUGGAUAGUCCAUAAGCUUAUGGAUACCUUUUACUAUGGACUACUCUAUGGACUGGUCUCACACUGUUUCAGCUAGCUGAUACAAAUUAUUAUAAUGCCUAUGGACUACUUUUGAGCAACAUUGUGGUUGCUCUGCAAUAGCUCAUCGCUGAUGCCGGCCUGGCCUGGUAACUAGCGGCGGCCGGCGGCAGCUGCUACGCUAAGCGCUGCGAUCCGCAGGCGCCAUCGACGCGACAACACCCAACACUCCAAGUGCAAACGACAAGGCAACGUAAGAGGUGGUCCCUCCGAUCCGUUUGAAAUCAAAAGAAUGUAAUUAUUAUGGGAGACGUGUCGGUUAAAUCAAAUUUAUAAUAAUAAUAUUAUUAUUAUUAGUAUUUAUGUCUCCACAUAAAUUUGUUAUGAAAAAAUAUAUAUACUAGUGUGGCAGAACCACCCUAAUUAUAUGGCCCACAUGCACUUGACAUUGUCCUUAAGACCUCUGACUACUGCACAUGAGAGUCAUAUAACUUGGAUAGUCUGUCGGGUGCCCUCGGAGGACCCCGAAUCAUCCACAUUUUAACUCGUACAGGAUCAACAUGGAGUUACCACAACAUUACAACAUUUGUUACAAAAAUAACUUACAUCAGAGUGCGGAAGAUUUAUAACUUAAUUUACAACAUAUGAUGAAAUACAAACUUAACUAAAUUUCUAAAAGGUGUAUAGAGUAGCGGAAGCAUCUUAGGUGAAGCUUCUAAGGUAGAAGAGGUGGAUAAAUCAUGUCGCGCCCACCGACAUGACCUCCAUUAGCAGACUAAGUCAGCACCUGCAACAGGGGUUAUAAAACCCUGAGUACAAAAGUACUCAACAAGACUUAACCGACUAGAAAAGAGAUGAAGACUCAGGUAUGCAGGCUAUAGGGAUUCAAGGUAAAGCUUUAUCAAGAUAAAGCAUUUCUUUUGCAUAAAAGCUUACUAAGAUUAAACCUACUUUCAAGUUUUAACUCAAGGUUAUCAUUUAUGACUAACCAAAACUAUUAUCAAACUUGCAUAAGCAUACCACAUCUUUCUUAUACCAAAGAUUCACUUGUUACUACGAUGAUGGUGUGAGGAUUGAGGCUCCAUAUCCGAGGAAACACGGCGAUUCGAAUCGAUUAAACCCAGCUGGGGAUUCAGUACCACACGACAUAUGUAGAACUUAAUCUUGCAUAUGUCAACCUUUUCUAUAGAUCCUCCCAUACAAGAACGGGUCCAGCGUCACCCGAGAGUACAGUACACCACCAUCCUACAGCCAAUCUAGAUGUUUCCCGGUCAUCUCAGAUCCGUAAGGUGGGUACACGCUACUCUCGCCAUCUUUCCACUCCCAGUACGCGGUUAGCCGUUCUCAAGUAUCGGAAUAGCUAUAGGUAAGGCUUACCGCCGCAUGUGGGCUGUACUCAAAGGUCUCAAUCACAACAGGCCAAUCAACGGUACGGUCCUUAAUCGACACAGUUGGAGACACUACUUUAAGACUCCAUUCUUAAAGCAAGUCCACCGACCGGUCUCAAAUUGAACAUCAUUAACUAUAAGAGUAUUCCACAACGACCCUUCAAACGUUCUCAUUUGAAAACUUAUCUAAUAAGCAGGGCUAAGCAUACUAAGCAUUUUCAUAAAGCAGGUAUCAAGGUUAAUAUGGAAAUCAUCAAGGUAGAUAAUGCAGCAAAUAGGAUUCACUCAACUCCUAUUCACCUAAUGCAUCAUAUUAACUCAAGUGAUAUAAAUAACUUUAUGAAAAUACAAGGAUAGGGUUUAAUGUCCGGGGCUUGCCUUGACCGGAAGGGAAGUCCGACAACUCAGCAAAACCAGAUGGAUCCACAAACUCGGAAGCAACCCACUGAGGAUC